CAGAUUGAGAGCUCUUUCUUGAUUCUGUGGGUGGUGGUGCAUGGCCGUUUUUAGUUGGUGGAGUAAUUUGUCUGGUUAAUUCCGUUAACGAACGAGACCUUAACCUAUUAAAUAGUCGUGGGAACCCAGGUCUUUCAUCCCUCUUCAGCAAUGGGGGGGAAACCAUUAUCAUAUUGGUACCCUCUGGGUAUCGUGUGGUAGUGGUGAGGAUCUGAUAGUGUUCUUAUAGGCUUCUUAGAGGGACUCUUUGCAUCUUUAGCAAAUGGAAGUUUGAGGCAAAAACAGGUCUGUGAUGCCCUUCGAUGUUCUGGGCUGCACGCGCGUUACAAUGACGCAUGCAACGAGUUAUUAAAUUCCUGGCCCGAUGGGGUUGGGUAAUCUUUUUAACUGCGUCGUGAUGGGGAUAGAGCAUUGCAAUUAUUGGUUCUUUGAACGAGGAAUUCCUAGUAAUUGCAGGUCAUCAACCUGCGAUGAUUACGUCCUGCCCUUUGUACACACCG
Molecule: ribosomal RNA, 500 nt
Filed under: uncultured eukaryote
Lineage: Eukaryota
Description: bacterial SSU rRNA
Rfam family: Eukaryotic small subunit ribosomal RNA
Source: RNAcentral